CUCAUUAUAACAGCUAUAAUUUACUUGAUCUUGACACAAUCCUACUUGGAUAACUGUGGUAAUUCUAGAGCUAAUACAUGCAUUAAAGCUCCGACCUCACGGGAAGAGUGCAUUUAUUAGAACAAAACCAAGCGGCUUCGGCUGUUUAUGGUUGACUCAUAGUAACUGAGCUGAUCGCAUGGUCUUGCACCGGCGACGUGUCUUUCAAGUAUCUGCCGUAUCAACUUUCGAUGGUAGUGUAUCUGACUACCAUGGUGAUCACGCGUAACGGAGAAUAAGGGUUCGGCUCCGGAGAGUUCGCCUGAGAAAUCGCGAACACAUCUAAGGAAGGCAGCAGGCGCGAAAAUUACCCACUCUCAGCACGAGGAGGUAGUGACGAAAAAUAACGAGACCGUUCUCUUUGAGGCCGGUCAUCGGAAUGGGUACAAUUUAAACCCUUUAACGAGUAUCUAUGAGAGGGCAAGUCUGGUGCCAGCAGCCGCGGUAAUUCCAGCUCUCAAAGUGCAUAGAAUUAUUGCUGCGGUUAAAAAGCUCGUAGUUGGAUCUGUGCCAUAGGACUGGGUCCACUUUCGGGUGCGUACUCAGCUCCUAGGCUUUUUGACGGUUUUCCCGUCGUAGCCUUCACUGGUUGCGGCGGGUGGCUGUCGAGUUUACUUUGAGAAAAUCAGAGUGCUCAAUACAGGCGUAUCGCUUGAAUGAUUGUGCAUGGAAUAAUAGAAAAGGAUUUCGGUCCUCUUUUAUUGGUUUUGUGGACUGAGAUAAUGGUUAACAGGGACAAACGGGGGCAUUCGUAUCGCUGCGUGAGAGGUGAAAUUCUUGGACCGUAGCGAGACGCCCUACUGCGAAAGCAUUUGCCAAGAAUGUCUUCAUUAAUCAAGAACGAAA
RNAcentral lists this ribosomal RNA (885 nucleotides) under Nematoda environmental sample. Its description in RNAcentral is "SSU rRNA". It matches the Rfam family "Eukaryotic small subunit ribosomal RNA", at positions 97 to 988 of the family's 1831-position model. Lineage: Eukaryota; Metazoa; Nematoda. The record is from RNAcentral.